UGGGGAAUAUUGGACAAUGGGCGAGAGCCUGAUCCAGCCAUGCCGCGUGUGUGAAGAAGGUCUUCGGAUUGUAAAGCACUUUAAGUUGGGAGGAAGGGCAGUAAGCGAAUACCUUGCUGUUUUGACGUUACCGACAGAAUAAGCACCGGCUAACUCUGUGCCAGCAGCCGCGGUAAUACAGAGGGUGCAAGCGUUAAUCGGAAUUACUGGGCGUAAAGCGCGCGUAGGUGGUUCGUUAUGUUGGAUGUGAAAGCCCCGGGCUCAACCUGGGAACUGCAUCCAAAACUGGCGAGCUAGAGUAGGGCAGAGGGUGGUGGAAUUUCCUGUGUAGCGGUGAAAUGCGUAGAUAUAGGAAGGAACACCAGUGGCGAAGGCGACCACCUGGGCUCAUACUGACACUGAGGUGCGAAAGCGUGGGGAGCAAACAGG
This 429-nucleotide ribosomal RNA is filed under the name bacterium. Its description in RNAcentral is "partial 16S ribosomal RNA". It matches the Rfam family "Bacterial small subunit ribosomal RNA", at positions 355 to 776 of the family's 1533-position model. The record is from RNAcentral.